UACGAAGGGGGCUAGCGUUGCUCGGAAUCACUGGGCGUAAAGGGUGCGUAGGCGGGGCUUUAAGUCAGGGGUGAAAUCCUGGAGCUCAACUCCAGAACUGCCUUUGAUAUUGAGGUUCUUGAGUUCGGGAGAGGUGAGUGGAACUGCGAGUGUAGAGGUGAAAUUCGUAGAUAUUCGCAAGAACACCAGUGGCGAAGGCGGCUCACUGGCCCGAUACUGACGCUGAGGCACGAAAGCGUGGGGAGCAAACAGG
Molecule: ribosomal RNA, 253 nt
Filed under: uncultured bacterium
Lineage: Bacteria
Description: partial 16S ribosomal RNA
Rfam family: Bacterial small subunit ribosomal RNA
Source: RNAcentral